UCCCUGGUGGCUCAGUGGUAAAGAACCUGCCUGCAGUGCAGGAGACCCAGGUUUGAUCGCUGGGUGGGGAA
This 71-nucleotide transfer RNA is filed under the name Bos taurus (domestic cattle). It matches the Rfam family "tRNA". From Rfam's summary of the family: Transfer RNA (tRNA) molecules are approximately 80 nucleotides in length. The record is from Rfam by way of RNAcentral. Lineage: Eukaryota; Metazoa; Chordata; Mammalia; Artiodactyla; Bovidae. RNAcentral also lists the same sequence under 1 other name.